This 1520-nucleotide long non-coding RNA is filed under the name Bemisia tabaci. Its description in RNAcentral is "lncRNA ENSSSA1NGG002276". Lineage: Eukaryota; Metazoa; Arthropoda; Insecta; Hemiptera; Aleyrodidae. The record is from RNAcentral.
AUCAAGCAAGUGUUUCUAGUUCUUGCCUUUAGCAGAGCGUUUGGGUAGCAACCCUUCCGAUCCGGUCGAAAAAUUCGACCCAGUCCACCCGCGGGAAUUCGCCUAAUAUCUGUCACUCUCCGGCUCAACUUAGUUGGAUUCAAGCGCACUUUUAUGGCCUGAAUCGGCACACAAACGAACUAAACUCUCCGCAGCUCAUUUCCUCGAGAGAGAGUGCUUUCUGUUGAAAACUCAACGACGAUAUUUCGUUUCGAUCUAACUCGACGGAAAUGGCUCUGGCGAAAAAAUGGCCUUGUGCACUGCCGUGCGAAGGAAAAACGCCGUAUGAACCCUCGAGAGUUGCCAAAUUUCCUUCGACAAAAUAUUUAUUUUUAAGGAGAAAUAUACAAAUUUUAUCUGAAAAAUUUCAGAAUCUGUAGGUAAGAUUGAGAACACAAUUAGCAGAGAAAUUGGGAGGAAAAUACUCAUAAUUUUACCAGGAAAUUCGCGUUUUAUGAUUGGACAUUUGGCAACGCCUAUAUGUUCAUACGGUGUUUUUCCUUAGCACGGCAGUGCACACCCGGGCCCCCUUCGCCCUCCCCGCGGACAAUGACAUAUUUAAUAAAUGUGGCAAUAGAGGGAGGGCAAUUCUGGAUCGGAGAGAUGCGAUUACUGCUGCGAGUACGGGCAGUAGGCAGUCAGUUGUCUGUUACGCUCGGCGCUACGUCCGGCAUCGGCGGCUCCUCCGCGCUCUCGUAUUUUGAGCCUCGCGUUUUUUGUUGCCGGGAUAAACAAGGCUGUGCUCACCAGAGCUUUCAUCACUCAUCGCGCUAAAUACGAUUAAGUGAAAAAUGUUCCCUAAGUGAAAUCGAUGGACACACCAUUAAGCCCGUAACUCAAAGUGCGGUUUCGGGUUAUUUCAUUCUGGACUUAAACUUUGGCCCGAAGGAAAAGGGAAAUCGAGUCGUGUGUCGUGGAAGACAUGGUGAAUCGGAAUUGGAAGCGGUAGUGUCCGAGGGCUCGUUUUCACGAAAAGGCGGGCGUGGCUCUCCCGCGGCGGACGACCGGUGGCGGUUUUUCGCGGGAAGCGGGCGAAGCGGGAAGGCUCGAAAAUGAUGGGAACGGUGAGCUACGUGGUGUGGGCGGAGUCCUCGGCCCCCGCCUCCAUGCCCUACCACCCGGUGACGGCCCCCGCCCCCCCGGUCCCCAUGAUGCCCCCUCCGAACCCCAUCGGGCCCUCUGGUUCCACUCGGUGAGUCCUCGUUCAGCAUUAAUAACCCACUUUCCAUUCUCGUCUUAUCAUCUCCUUUCCACGCGGGAAAAUUGGUGCAACAGAAAAUCACAAGAUCCACGUACCGAGUGCUCUUACUCUCGUCCGCUUCAAACUACAUGAAUCUUCCUCUGGAAACUAAACUUGAAAAAAUUCAAAUCGCCAUUUAUUGUAGAUUAUCCUUUUCAAGGCCAUCCGCACCUUUAAUGUUCUUCCAUUUCUUUUCAUUUUACCUUGAAAAGAUAUGAAUUUUUGUUCGUUUCGAAUUGUG